RNAcentral lists this ribosomal RNA (389 nucleotides) under uncultured bacterium. Its description in RNAcentral is "bacterial SSU rRNA". It matches the Rfam family "Bacterial small subunit ribosomal RNA", at positions 28 to 419 of the family's 1533-position model. The record is from RNAcentral.
GACGAACGCUUGCGGCGUGCUUAACACAUGCAAGUCGAGCGGUAAGGCCCUUUCGGGGGUACACGAGCGGCGAACGGGUGAGUAACACGUGGGUGACCUGCCCUCAGCUCUGGGAUAAGCCUGGGAAACCGGGUCUAAUACCGGAUAUGACUCCAUGACGCAUGUUGUGGGGUGGAAAGCCUUGUGCGGCUGAGGAUGGGCCCGCGGCCUAUCAGCUUGUUGGUGGGGUGAUGGCCUACCAAGGCGACGACGGGUAGCCGGCCUGAGAGGGCGACCGGCCACACUGGGACUGAGACACGGCCCAGACUCCUACGGGAGGCAGCAGUGGGGAAUCUUGCGCAAUGGGCGAAAGCCUGACGCAGCACGCCGCGUGAGGGAUGACGGCCUGG